Molecule: ribosomal RNA, 376 nt
Filed under: uncultured bacterium
Lineage: Bacteria
Description: bacterial SSU rRNA
Rfam family: Bacterial small subunit ribosomal RNA
Source: RNAcentral
GACGAACGCUGGCGGCGUGCCUAAUACAUGCAAGUCGAACGAACGGAUAAAGAGCUUGCUCUUUUGAAGUUAGUGGCGGACGGGUGAGUAACACGUGGGUAACCUGCCUCACAGCUGGGGAUAACAUCGAGAAAUCGAUGCUAAUACCGAAUGUGCUGAACAUCAUAAGAUGUUCAAGUGAAAGACGGUUUCGGCUGUCACUGUGAGAUGGACCCGCGCUGGAUUAGCUAGUUGGUAAGGUAAAUGGCUUACCAAGGCGACGAUCCAUAGCCGACCUGAGAGGGUGAUCGGCCACAUUGGGACUGAGACACGGCCCAAACUCCUACGGGAGACAGCAGUAGGGAAUCUUCGGCAAUGGACGAAAGUCUGACCGAGC